UUUUCUGUUGUUAUACAUAUUUUAGGUGGUCGUACGGUGUUCUUGUGUGGGAAAUAACAAGUUAUGGAGAUAUACCUUACGCAGAUGCUGAUGGCAAAUCAUUAAUAGAUUUUCUCGGUGAAGAUAAACGACUAGAGAAGCCAAAAUAUUGCAGCCAAGAAACGUAUGACGUCAUGAGCUCGUGUUGGCAGAUGGAACCCAAGGAGAGACCAUCAUUUACUGAGUUAUCGAAGAAAUUUGACGAAUUAUACCAUCAGGAGGUCAGAAAAUACUUUUCUGAAGCACCUGAAGCUGCGAUUGUAGAUGUAGAUACGUACACUGAAAUGAAGCCUAGCACAGAUAUUAUGAUCAACUUCGGAGUGAGCGAAUGAAUAACAAUACGUCACUGAUGCGUCAUACAAAGCCUUUAUAAACUCUGCAAUAUACGUUGUUAUAUAUAUAUAUAUAGGCCUAGGGGUGUGUGUCACCAUUUUGCCGGUUUCAAAUACAAUUUCCGUGAAAAGUUCUGAAGAAUGUUGUUUUUUCAAUGAUUAAAGGGACAUAAUAUUACUUGUAAAUGUAAAUAUAUAUACAUAAUAUAAAUAUAUAUUGUUGACUUAACAUAUGAUAUGUGUGUGCGUGCAUGUGGAGAUGUGUGUUUAUGUAUAUUUGUUUGUGUGUAGCACAAAAAAGGCGUAUGACUCAAAUCCUAAGACGCGGUGUGACGAAGGGUUAACACAAUUUGUACGAUUUUUACUUGUGUAUCUAUUUGUGAUUCUUAACAUUAUUUCUUAAGUAAAAGUUUGAGGAUAUAAUAUUCAUAACCUGUUAAGUACCGUAUCAUUUAUUGUAAAUAAUAGUAAGUAUUCUAAAUAAAUACAUAAUAUUGCUCCAUAUUGGUGGGUUAUUUCAUUUUCAAAAGGCAAUAUUAAUGUAAUGAUAUGCAUAAAAUCAAUUAAACAAAUCAAAAUGCUCCUGAAUUAAUUAACAAUCUUUUAAGUAUCUUUUAACAUCUAAUUACUAUGCAUAUUUAGUGACAACAGCUUGUAGUCAAUCU
This is a long non-coding RNA of Anneissia japonica, 1036 nucleotides long. RefSeq lists it as uncharacterized. NCBI's taxonomy places the organism in Eukaryota, Metazoa, Echinodermata, Crinoidea, Comatulida, Comatulidae. The transcript has 3 exons. The record is from RefSeq and is a predicted model, not a curated record.